This 253-nucleotide ribosomal RNA is filed under the name uncultured bacterium. RNAcentral describes it as "partial 16S ribosomal RNA". It matches the Rfam family "Bacterial small subunit ribosomal RNA", at positions 524 to 776 of the family's 1533-position model. The record is from RNAcentral.
UACGGAGGGUGCAAGCGUUAAUCGGAAUUACUGGGCGUAAAGGGUGCGUAGGCGGUUGUUUAAGUCUGUUGUGAAAUCCCCGGGCUCAACCUGGGAAUGGCAAUGGAUACUGGGCAGCUAGAGUGUGUCAGAGGAUGGUGGAAUUCCCGGUGUAGCGGUGAAAUGCGUAGAGAUCGGGAGGAACAUCAGUGGCGAAGGCGGCCAUCUGGGACAACACUGACGCUGAAGCACGAAAGCGUGGGGAGCGAACAGG